UCCAUUGCUUGAUGCUACAGCUGCCAAAGGAUGAGCAUGGAACCAGCUCUAAGCCUGUAUCUCCCUGCAUUUCCCUCACUACACGAUACACAUCAGCUCAUUCAUCAGCCCCUGGAAUUAGGGAAGAAGCUUUUCAGAUGAGAGGGCGUGGCAAGCUGCUAGUCAACCAUGUUUCUGAGUAAAGGUAUGUUGUUCUACAGCAUACAGCACACCAUGAAUGCUUACUUGGUCCAUUUGUUCCUUCGUAGGAUUUCUAUUCUACUAUUCUUUCAGUCCCCACAGUGGCUUUCAAAUACAGUACAGGACAAUAAAAUGCUAGUAAUAAAGCAGAUAAAAAUGAUGAGAGCAGCAAAAGCAGUCAGUAACAGCUAAAAGCAGCACAAAUAAACACAUAAAGCAGUAUAGAUAGACAGCAGCAAGAAGCAAAUCAAUAUUGUGAUUAAGGACUGAUGUAGAAAUUGAGGUUUGGCUUUUGCUGUCCAACUCCCCAUGGGACUCUGAGUCCCCUAAAUCCAUGACCAGUUGACUUUAAGAAAGCCGACUUCAUAAAACUUAGGGAAGUGCUGGGUGAGAUCCCAUGGACAGUAAUACUAAAAGGAAAGGGAGUUCAUGAUGGCUGGGAGUUUGUUAAGAGGGAGAUAGUAAAAGCACAACGUCAGGCAAUACCAAUGAGACGGAAACAUGGAAGGUGCCUAAAGAAGCCAGGGUGGCUAUCUAAAGAACUUUUAAUUGAGUUAAGAUUAAAAAAAGGAUGUGUACAAAAAAUGGAAAAGGGGGGAACCACCAAAGAGGAAUUCAAACAAAUAGCCAGCACGUGUAGACACAAAGUCAGAAAAGCUAAAGCACAGAAUGAACUCAGGCUUGCUAGAGAGGUUAAAAGCAACAAAAAGGCUUUUAUGGGUAUGUUCGUAGCAAAAGGAAGAACAAAGAAACAGUGGGGUCACUCAGAGGAGAAGAUGGUGAAAUGCAAACAGGGGACACAGAAAGGGCUGAACUCCUCAAUGCCUUCUUUGCCUCAGUCUUCUCUGAUAAAGAAAACAAUGCCCGACCUGAAGAAUUUGGAGCAAAUGAUUCAGCAGAGGAAACACAGCCCAGAAUAACUAAGGAGAUAGUACAAGAAUACUUGGCUAGUUUAGAUGUAUUCAAGUCUCCAGGGCCAGAUGAACUGCAUCCAAGAGUAUUAAAAGAACUGGCAGAUGUGAUCUCAGAACCACUGGCAGUCAUCUUUGAGAAUUCCUGGAGAACAGGCGAAGUCCCGGCAGACUGGAGGAGGGCAAAUGUUGUCCCUAUUUUCAAAAAGGGGAAAAGAGAGGACCCAAAUAAUUACCGCCAAGUCAGUCUGACAUCAAUACCAGGGAAGAUUCUGAAGCAGAUCAUUAAGCAAACAGUCUGUGAGCACCUAGAAAGGAAUGCUGUGAUCACCAAUAGUCAGCAUGGAUUUCUGAAAAAUAAGUCAUGUCAGACUAACCUGAUCUCGUUUUUGACAGAAUUACAAGCCUGGUAGAUGAAGGGAACACAGUGGAUGUAGCCUACCUUGAUUUCAGCAAGGCAUUUGACAAGGUGCCCCAUGAUAUUCUUGUAAAGAAGCUGGUAAAAUGCGG
Molecule: long non-coding RNA, 1601 nt
Filed under: Podarcis lilfordi (Lilford's wall lizard)
Lineage: Eukaryota; Metazoa; Chordata; Lepidosauria; Squamata; Lacertidae
Source: RNAcentral